GCUAAUACCGGAUAACAAACAGAUGAUGCCUAUCAACUGUUUAAAAGAAUGGUUCUGCUAUCACUCUUGGAUGGACCUGCGGUGCAUUAGCUAGUUGGUAGGGUAACGGCCUACCAAGGCGAUGAUGCAUAGCCGAGUUGAGAGACUGAUCGGCCACAUUGGGACUGAGACACGGCCCAAACUCCUACGGGAGGCAGCAGC
Molecule: ribosomal RNA, 201 nt
Filed under: uncultured Lactobacillus sp.
Lineage: Bacteria; Bacillati; Bacillota; Bacilli; Lactobacillales; Lactobacillaceae
Description: partial 16S ribosomal RNA
Rfam family: Bacterial small subunit ribosomal RNA
Source: RNAcentral